AAACCUGUCGAUCCUGAAGAGGAACUACGAUGGAUGUCCCAAGAAGUUCGUGGCUAUGUUGAAGCUGUCUUGAACAGUUUAGCUGCCAAUGUUCCAAAAGCAGUUGUACUUUGCCAAGUUGAGAAAGCCAAGGAAGAUAUGCUAAAUCAGUUGUAUAGUUCCAUCAGUGCUCAAAGCACACCAAGGAUAGAGGAGCUACUUCUCGAGGAUCACAAUGUAA
RNAcentral lists this unclassified non-coding RNA (220 nucleotides) under Hevea brasiliensis (rubber tree). Lineage: Eukaryota; Viridiplantae; Streptophyta; Magnoliopsida; Malpighiales; Euphorbiaceae. The record is from RNAcentral.